AGGGGCGUAGCUCAAUUGGCAGAGCACUGGUUUCCAAAACCAGGGGUUGUGAGUUCGAGUCCCACCGCCCCUG
Molecule: transfer RNA, 73 nt
Filed under: Planctomycetota bacterium
Lineage: Bacteria; Pseudomonadati; Planctomycetota
Also listed under: 1 other name
Description: Planctomycetes bacterium (hydrothermal vent metagenome) tRNA-Trp
Rfam family: tRNA
About the family: Transfer RNA (tRNA) molecules are approximately 80 nucleotides in length. Their secondary structure includes four short double-helical elements and three loops (D, anti-codon, and T loops). Further hydrogen bonds mediate the characteristic L-shaped molecular structure. tRNAs have two regions of fundamental functional importance: the anti-codon, which is responsible for specific mRNA codon recognition, and the 3' end, to which the tRNAs corresponding amino acid is attached (by aminoacyl-tRNA synthetases). tRNAs cope with the degeneracy of the genetic code in two manners: having more than one tRNA (with a specific anti-codon) for a particular amino acid; and 'wobble' base-pairing, i.e. permitting non-standard base-pairing at the 3rd anti-codon position.
Source: RNAcentral